RNAcentral lists this ribosomal RNA (253 nucleotides) under uncultured bacterium. Its description in RNAcentral is "partial 16S ribosomal RNA". It matches the Rfam family "Bacterial small subunit ribosomal RNA", at positions 524 to 776 of the family's 1533-position model. The record is from RNAcentral.
UACGUAAGUGGCGAGCGUUAUCCGGAAUUACUGGGCGUAGAGCGUGUGUAGGCGGUUUAGUGUGUGGGAAUUGAAAGCCCGGGGCUCAACUCCGGAUCCGGUUCCCAAACUGCUAGACUCGAGAGUAUCAGAGGAGAGCGGAAUUCCCGGUGUAGCGGUAAUAUGCGUAGAUAUCAGGAGGAACACCGGUGGCGAAGGCGGUUCUCUGGGCAUGUCCUGACGCUGAGGAGCGAAAGUGUGGGGAGCGAACAGG